GGGGAGGUGGCCGAGUGGCUAAAGGCGCACGCUUGCUAAGCGUGUGUACCGAAAGGUACCGAGGGUUCGAAUCCCUCCCUCUCCG
This 85-nucleotide transfer RNA is filed under the name Pseudomonadota bacterium. RNAcentral describes it as "Proteobacteria bacterium tRNA-Ser". It matches the Rfam family "tRNA". Rfam says of the family: Transfer RNA (tRNA) molecules are approximately 80 nucleotides in length. Their secondary structure includes four short double-helical elements and three loops (D, anti-codon, and T loops). Further hydrogen bonds mediate the characteristic L-shaped molecular structure. tRNAs have two regions of fundamental functional importance: the anti-codon, which is responsible for specific mRNA codon recognition, and the 3' end, to which the tRNAs corresponding amino acid is attached (by aminoacyl-tRNA synthetases). tRNAs cope with the degeneracy of the genetic code in two manners: having more than one tRNA (with a specific anti-codon) for a particular amino acid; and 'wobble' base-pairing, i.e. permitting non-standard base-pairing at the 3rd anti-codon position. RNAcentral also lists the same sequence under 1 other name. Lineage: Bacteria; Pseudomonadati; Pseudomonadota. The record is from RNAcentral.